UACGUAGGUGGCAAGCGUUAUCCGGAUUUAUUGGGCGCAAAGGGAACGCAGGCGGUCUUUUAAGUCUGGUGUGAAAGCCUUCGGCUUAACCGGAGUAGUGCAUUGGAAACUGGGAGACUUGAGUGCAGAAGAGGAGAGUGGAACUCCAUGUGUAGCGGUGAAAUGCGUAGAUAUACGGAAGAACACCAGUGGCGAAAGCGGCUCUCCGGUCUGUAACUGACGCUGAGGUUCGAAAGCGUGGGUAGCAAACAGG
RNAcentral lists this ribosomal RNA (253 nucleotides) under uncultured bacterium. RNAcentral's name for it is "partial 16S ribosomal RNA". It matches the Rfam family "Bacterial small subunit ribosomal RNA", at positions 524 to 776 of the family's 1533-position model. The record is from RNAcentral.